This 468-nucleotide ribosomal RNA is filed under the name uncultured bacterium. RNAcentral describes it as "partial 16S ribosomal RNA". It matches the Rfam family "Bacterial small subunit ribosomal RNA", at positions 28 to 507 of the family's 1533-position model. The record is from RNAcentral.
GACGAACGCUGGCGGCGUGCUUAACACAUGCCAGUCGAACGGAAAGGCCCUGCUUUUGUGGGGUGCUCGAGUGGCGAACGGGUGAGUAACACGUGAGUAACCUGCCCUUGACUUUGGGAUAACUUCAGGAAACUGGGGCUAAUACCGGAUAGGAGCUCCUGCUGCAUGGUGGGGGUUGGAAAGUUUCGGCGGUUGGGGAUGGACUCGCGGCUUAUCAGCUUGUUGGUGGGGUAGUGGCUUACCAAGGCUUUGACGGGUAGCCGGCCUGAGAGGGUGACCGGCGACAUUGGGCCUGAGAUACGGACCAGACUCCUACGGGAGGCAGCAGUGGGGAAUAUUGCACAAUGGGCGGAAGCCUGAUGCAGCAACGCCGCGUGCGGGAUGACGGCCUUCGGGUUGUAAACCGCUUUCGCCUGUGACGAAGCGUGAGUGACGGUAAUGGGUAAAGAAGCACCGGCUAACUACGUG